RNAcentral lists this ribosomal RNA (504 nucleotides) under uncultured bacterium. RNAcentral's name for it is "bacterial SSU rRNA". It matches the Rfam family "Bacterial small subunit ribosomal RNA", at positions 791 to 1304 of the family's 1533-position model. The record is from RNAcentral.
UAGUCCACGCCGUAAACGAUGGAUACUAGCUGUUGGGUUUCGGCUCAGUGGCUAAGCGAAAGUGAUAAGUAUCCCACCUGGGGAGUACGUUCGCAAGAAUGAAACUCAAAGGAAUUGACGGGGGCCCGCACAAGCGGUGGAGCAUGUGGUUUAAUUCGAUGAUACGCGAGGAACCUUACCAGGGCUUAAAUGUAAGUUGCAUGAUCCAGAGAUGGGUCUUUCUUCGGACCACUUACAAGGUGCUGCAUGGUUGUCGUCAGCUCGUGCCGUGAGGUGUCAGGUUAAGUCCUAUAACGAGCGCGACCCUUGUCUUUAGUUGCCAUCAUUUAGUUGGGCACUCUAGAGAAACUGCCGGUGACAAACCGGAGGAAGGUAAGGAUGACGUCAAGUCAGCAUGCCCCUUACGUUCUGGGCUACACACGUGCUACAAUGGUCGUGACAAAGAGUUGCUAGUCUGCGAAGGCAAGCCAAUCUCAUAAACGCGGCCUUAGUUCGGAUUGCAGG